CGCGCGUAGGCGGUUUUUUAAGUCUGAUGUGAAAGCCCACGGCUCAACCGUGGAGGGUCAUUGGAAACUGGAAAACUUGAGUGCAGAAAAGGAAAGUGGAAUUCCAUGUGUAGCGGUGAAAUGCGCAGAGAUAUGGAGGAACACCAGUGGCGAAGGCGACUUUCUGGUCUGUAACUGACGCUGAUGUGCGAAAGCGUGGGGAUCAAACAGGAUUAGAUACCCCCGA
Molecule: ribosomal RNA, 226 nt
Filed under: Staphylococcus sp.
Lineage: Bacteria; Bacillati; Bacillota; Bacilli; Caryophanales; Staphylococcaceae
Description: partial 16S ribosomal RNA
Rfam family: Bacterial small subunit ribosomal RNA
Source: RNAcentral